UACAGAGGGUGCGAGCGUUAAUCGGAUUUACUGGGCGUAAAGGGUGCGUAGGUGGUUGCGUAAGUGAGAUGUGAAAUCCCCGGGCUUAACCUGGGAACUGCGUCUUAUACUGCGUAGCUGGAGUACAUGAGAGGGUAGUGGAAUUUCCGGUGUAGCGGUGAAAUGCGUAGAUAUCGGAAGGAACACCAGUGGCGAAGGCGGCUACCUGGCAUGAUACUGACACUGAGGCACGAGAGCGUGGGGAGCAAACAGG
RNAcentral lists this ribosomal RNA (253 nucleotides) under uncultured bacterium. Its description in RNAcentral is "partial 16S ribosomal RNA". It matches the Rfam family "Bacterial small subunit ribosomal RNA", at positions 524 to 776 of the family's 1533-position model. The record is from RNAcentral.